UGCGCAGGCGGGGCAAUAAGUCAGUGGUGAAAUCCUGCGGCUUAACCGUAGAACUGCCAUUGAUACUGUUGCCCUUGAGUAUAGUUGAGGUGGGCGGAAUAUGUAAUGUAGCGGUGAAAUGCAUAGAUAUUACAUAGAACACCGAUUGCGAAGGCAGCUCACUAAACUAUCACUGACGCCGAGGCACGAAAGCGUGGGGAGCGAACAGGAUUAGAUACCCUGGUAGUCC
This 229-nucleotide ribosomal RNA is filed under the name uncultured bacterium. Its description in RNAcentral is "partial 16S ribosomal RNA". It matches the Rfam family "Bacterial small subunit ribosomal RNA", at positions 568 to 796 of the family's 1533-position model. The record is from RNAcentral.